AAGGGCACCACAAGAACGCGUGGAGCAUGUGGCUUAAUUUGACUCAACGCGGGAAAGCUUACCGGGUCCGGACACACUGAGGAUUGACAGGUUCUAAUAGUAUCUUUUUGCGGAGAUAUUAGUAAAUAUGCUAGACCUUUCAUGAUUGUGUGAUAGGUGGUGCAUGGCCGUUCUUAGUUCGUGGACUAAUCUGUCUGGUUAAUUCCGAAAUGCUAUAUGAGAGGGCAUUUUUGAGAUUUUGUACACCUUUGGAUAACACUGGUCAAAUCUUAUUUGUCUUCUCUUUGGCAACGAACGUGGCCGCAACCAUUAAUUUUCAGGGUUUCAUCUACAUGCUUUACACUAUCAAUUUAUUUUGUUAGAAAGAGUAUUAUGAGCCUCGCCUGCACAACAGGAAUUUAAUGGGACGCAUACGCUUUAAGGUGAAGAAAGACUGCGGCCAUAACAGGUCUGUGAUGCCCUUAGAUGUCCCGGGCCGCACACGUGCUACAAUGAUUUAUACAGUAAGCAUAUAUCGAAUUUUACGAUGAAUUUUCUCAUAUUUGAAAGGGUCCAUCGUGAUUAAGCCUUCUUCGAAAGUAAGAAGGUAAUCAAUUCGAAAUAUAAAUUUUCGCGUAUUUUUAUAAUACUCAUUUUUUUUUAAAAGUGUUUAUUAUAGACAAAUAACCAAUCAAGGUAGGGACAGACCAUUGUAAAUUGUUGGUCUCGUCUCAACUAGGAAUGCCUUGUACGGGUCUUGGUUCAACAAACCACCCGGAAUACGUCCCUGCCCUUUGUACACACCGCCCGUC
This 791-nucleotide ribosomal RNA is filed under the name Monothalamids sp. RNAcentral's name for it is "SSU rRNA". It matches the Rfam family "Eukaryotic small subunit ribosomal RNA", at positions 1160 to 1677 of the family's 1831-position model. Lineage: Eukaryota; Foraminifera. The record is from RNAcentral.